CACUCCUGCGGGAGGCAGCAGUGGGGAAUUUUGGACCAUGGGCGAAAGCCUGAUCCAGCAAUGCCGCGUGAGUGAAGAAGGCCUUCGGGUUGUAAAGCUCUUUUGUCAGGGAAGAAACGGUGAAAGCUAAUAUCUUUUGCUAAUGACGGUACCUGAAGAAUAAGCACCGGCUAACUACGUGCCAGCAGCCGCGGUAAUACGUAGGGUGCAAGCGUUAAUCGGAAUUACUGGGCGUAAAGCGUGCGCAGGCGGUUUUGUAAGUCUGAUGUGAAAUCCCCGGGCUCAACCUGGGAAUUGCAUUGGAGACUGCAAGGCUAGAAUCUGGCAGAGGGGGGUAGAAUUCCACGUGUAGCAGUGAAAUGCGUAGAUAUGUGGAGGAACACCGAUGGCGAAGGCAGCCCCCUGGGUCAAGAUUGACGCUCAUGCACGAAAGCGUGGGGAGCAAACAGGAUUAGAAACCCGGGUAGUCCC
This 471-nucleotide ribosomal RNA is filed under the name uncultured organism. Its description in RNAcentral is "partial 16S ribosomal RNA". It matches the Rfam family "Bacterial small subunit ribosomal RNA", at positions 334 to 797 of the family's 1533-position model. The record is from RNAcentral.